AACGAACGCUGGCGGCAUGCCUAACACAUGCAAGUCGAACGAGACCUUCGGGUCUAGUGGCGCACGGGUGCGUAACGCGUGGGAACCUGCCCUUAGGUUCGGAAUAACUCCCCGAAAGGGGUGCUAAUACCGGAUAAUGUCUUCGGACCAAAGAUUUAUCGCCUUUGGAUGGGCCCGAGUUGGAUUACCUAGUUGGUAGGGUAAAAGCCUCUUAAGGCGACGAUGCAUAGCUGGUCUGAGAGGAUGAACAGCCACACUGGGACUGAGACACGGCCCAGACUCCUACAGGAGGCAGCAGUGGAGAAUAUUGGACAACCGGCCAAAGUCUGAUCCAGCAAUGCUCCGUAAGUUAUGAAUGCCUUAGAGUUGUAAAGCUCUUUUACCCGUGACUAUAAUGACAGUACCUGAAGAAUAAGCACCGGCUAACUCCGUG
This 433-nucleotide ribosomal RNA is filed under the name uncultured bacterium. RNAcentral's name for it is "partial 16S ribosomal RNA". It matches the Rfam family "Bacterial small subunit ribosomal RNA", at positions 29 to 507 of the family's 1533-position model. The record is from RNAcentral.